Long non-coding RNA from Chelonia mydas (Green sea turtle), 9227 nucleotides. RefSeq lists it as uncharacterized. The record is from RefSeq and is a predicted model, not a curated record. The transcript is spliced from 5 exons. NCBI's taxonomy places the organism in Eukaryota, Metazoa, Chordata, Testudines, Cheloniidae.
GAGUGUCACCCACUAAGCUAUUACAAGUGCAUGCCACAGUGCCCACUGCUGUCACUUCUAUGUUCUCCUCCAUUGCCUCUCAUGUUUAUAUAUUUGAAUGCACUCGUCUGUUUUACUACAAAAGAGUUCUAAAGCGAAUUUGUUACAACCCUACCAUGGCAAAUUCGCAGGAGAUUAGUACGCAGGAAAGGGGAAGCAGCAUUGCUAAGACCUGUAGAACACUCGCUCUCCUCUCCGCAGGUGCACCGAGAAUAUAUGACAGUUCCCUUUCCAUUCCUACCAUGUAGGAGGGGAGGAGAGUAUGUCAGGGGAGAUUCCUGGACUGUUAAUGACAAUGCAUUUGCUGAGACAAUAUGUAAACCUUCCAUUUAAAGCUGAUGUUGAAGUUAUAAGACUCCUUCGCCAUCCAAGAAAUGAAACUGCACUUUUCUGGCCCAAGGACAGCGCCUCUGAACUGAACAUAAACAAGGACUAUUGCAAGAGGGCCUUCCAGUGAAACGAAAUCAAAUUGGCUUGGUCUUUUAUUUCAUAAGGAUUGGAGUUUUCUGGGAGUCCUGAAGUUUCUCCUGUUAUUUCAAUCCCUUCAAGCUUCACGAAGCGGGGACUUGGGUCAGCCCCGGGAAAUAAAGCCUUGCACCUACUUCUCGAGUCCAAAGCGUCGAAAGGGUUAAGGAGUCCUGAACGGGGCUCUCACAAGGGCAAUUGGAAAAAACAAAUCGCUUCCAAGACAUCCGUUUAGUCACUACGAAAAGAAAAAAGGCUCGCGAAACAUGGUUUGGGGAAACCUGCAGAGGAAAUGGACACAGUCUGCGUUUCAGGGUUCAGUCCUCACGGUGAAGCUGAAGGAAUCAGCAGCUUCCAGUUAACACAAUUCAACCCCAGAUGAUUCUGUCAGUGGACGUCUUCUGGUCAUAGGGCUGCUUAAUUUCAUGCGUAUUUUUUACCAGCACAUGAAUCAAGCACGCCCGACCAGGUUUUUAAGGAUUGGAUGAUUUAUAUGCAUCAAAUCGGAUCUCUGAAAGCUUUUGUUUCACCUGUGUGCUUGAUAAUAUUUCUGUUAUCAGUAGUGUGCAUCUGUAAAUGUUAAGAAACGAAAGUUAGUCCUUUAUUGUGACAUUGUAGGAAUGAAAAUGUAGAAUAUAAUGAAGUAAACCUUUCAAAACCAUGCAAGGAACUAGACUGUCCCGGAGCAAGAUCGCUUUAAAAAAACAGAGAGAAAAAGACGCAUGUAUAUGUAAUUACAAAAUGUGAUCUGUAUGAUUUGCUUAAGUAAAUUAGGGGGUGUUUGAAAAUGUGCUUGUCACUAUAUAUUGAAUUAAGCAUAUAUUGCUCUAAGUAAUGAAAUAAAAUAAUCUGGAUUUGGUCAGCAUCUCCCUUAUUGUUGGUAGUCUAUCUAUAAGCCGUACCCCGUUUCUUGUUUUGGAACAUUCGCCAAAACACUCAACCAGGGAUGUGGUUUUUUUGAAAUAUAUUGCUUUAAUAAUGAACCACAUGUGGGGGGAGGAGGAACCAUUCGCUGAAGCAGUGGCUCUCAACCUUGUCAGACUACUGCACCCCUUUCAGGAGUGUGAUUUGUCUUGUACCCCAAGUUUCACCUCACUUAUAAACUACUUGCUUACAAAAUCAGACAUACACAUACAAAUGUGUCAAAGCACAUUAUUACAGAACAAUUGCUUACUUUCUCACGUUUACCAUAUAAUUAUAAAGUAAAUCAAUUGGAAUAUAAAUUUUGUACUUACAUUUCAGUGUAUAGUAUAUAGAGCAGUAUAAACAAGUAAUUGCAUGAAAUUUUAAUUGGUACUGACUUCACUAGUGCAUUUUACAUAGCCUGCUGUAAAACGAGGCAAAUAUCUAGAUGAGUUGAUGUACCUCCUGGAAGACCUCUUUGUACCCCCAGGGGUAUGUGCGUUAAAGAACUAGUAAUACAAUUUGUUUAAUGCUUAUUUUAGGAAGGAAAUAUUGUUUGUCUCCUCUUUUGGUUCCACCUGUCAAAAUAUUUGACUGCUGGGAACAACUAAAUAUCUGUUUGAUGGACAACUUGUUUGAAAGAGGGUAAACAUGAAAAUCAUCCUACUGAUGUCAGAUUUCUUAGCAUUCUAUUUCCUGAGGAACUUUUACUUUGAAAUGUCAUGGAAGCUAUAGUUUUGGUUGUAUUUUUUUCCGAGAAUCGUAGGGUAAUCUGUUUCCUGUUCCUAUCAUAUUAAAUCUUGCUUAGAUUUGCAUGUAGAAUUCACAUGGCUCUUUAUGCUGACUCAUUUUUACAGGUAGGUUUAUGUUACGUUUCUAUAGUGGCAUAAUUAUAUUAAGAUUCUCUUUGUUAACUACUAAAAAAUUUAAUUGUUUAUCAAUGCAAAGGUCAGCACAAGUACCACUUUGCAGAAUGACUGCAGUUUCCAGUGCCCUUUGCAUUGUAUAACGGAUUAGAUGUUCAUUUUGGUUUAUGCCAGUUAUCUCACUAAAUAAAAGAGAGUCACUAACUGAGUCUCUGAUUAGGAUUUACGGGCUCAAAGCCACAUUCUUCCAAUGGAUCUCGGGGUGCACGGGGCAUACACGUUAUGGCCCCAUAUGGUAAAUAUUUCAAAUGUUCAGAAUACUGGUUGUCUUCCUGUACUCUUAUUUUUCCCCUGGAACAUAAACAGUUACUCAACAUUUAAUAUAAGGUACAGAAUUACCUCACAUUUUAACAGAAGUCGAACACUAUAAUUUUUAAAAAAGUUCAAAGGAUCAGAAAAAGGGUAUCAUUGUUAUAAAAAAGCGUCUCUACCUUUGUUUUAAAGAAUAAAUAGCAAUUUUGAAAUAGAUGUAGAGACACCGACACUCUUGUCGGUGUGAUGACUCUGUAUAAACAGGAUAUCAAAUACUUGACUAUUUGACUCCCUAGUGACGUAAACAGUGUAACUCCAGCAAGACGGUAUAGUAAAAAUGAAGUAUUUUAAAAAUACUUCAGCAAAUGACACAGACUCAAGAACUCUGGGCAAAUAGUGUAUUCAAAGCUGUUUCCUAUUUAGGUUUUGGCUUCCAGAAAAUGGGCAAUUAUUAUCAAAAAUGCUAAAACUUCACAUGUGGAGAAUAUCAUUAUCUUUUUGGGUCAUUGGACAUUCAAAAAGACAGAAAUUAUGAUGACACCAACCCGGAAAUUAACUUGUAAAUUGCUGACAAAUAAGUGAAACUUUCCAGAUCUAGUAGCUAAUUGAAAUAAUUGAGCUAGUUUUUCCUCUUGCAACACUAAAACCGAAAUGUGUGUUUUUGACAUUUCAAACUUUCAUUUUUGAUAGAUCAUUCAUCGAGAGCCAGAGAGCUGUCAUUUAAAUAUCUCUUUCCCUUAAAGUAUGAAUUAAUAUCGACGGUGCGACUGAGUUUAUUUUAAUCGUCUGUAGGUAGCUUUGUUUAUACACAGAAAACUGGUUUGCAGUGCAUACAAAGUACAUUUCUUCAAUUCUUGCCAGGGACACCCAGCUGAGAUAGAAAGUCAUAGGAUGUAUUUGUCCUACCACAUUUUCGGGGCCCAUUACGUACGUUUUUGAUUAUUUAGUUUUUUGUUUUAAUGAGGAAUACGUUAGAGGAGUUCUAAAAAUGAAGCGCUUAUCCGAAACUCAUAUUUUGCACUGAAUACUGCUCUGCCUAUAUCUUAAUUGUUAUGGCAUAUGAAGUGAAGAAUGACCAUAACUGAAAGUCUGGCAACAUUUACAUUGCCAGCCCUGUUCUUCGAACAGCCCAGCCCCACAGAUAGCAUUAUCACUUUUGCAAAGUGACAAAUACUUCUCUCUAAAUAAUUAAUGUUAGCUUAGUUGUUGCACCCACGGCUUAUCUCUAUCCCGCAGACACCCUAACCAGUGAAACCAGUGGACGUGCAGCAGGCAGCGGCUGCUUUGAGACCUUCCUUUCCUCUUUUCCUUCUCUUCAGAAUGUUGCAGUUAAAAUGUUGAUAUUUUGGUGAUUCUUACAUUUAACAUCUGCAGCUGCUGGUGGUCAGUGUUUACAAUAAUACACCCUGUAAAGAAGGUCUUUUAUCUCCUGCCUUGGAGCGUUUGGGCCUUUCACAACAACCAGGAAACACUACAGAGCACCAAGAUCUGGAGAGGUUCCUACAAUCGAAAAGUCAGAUUCUGUUCUCAAUGACACCAAGCACUGGUGAAAGUUGAUGAGUUGACUGCACUGGAAACUCAGGUCUUCUCUUUAACCAUAUUGCAGGAUGGCAGGCUUUUCAACAUUAUCCCUGUUCAUUGGCCCUGCCCUGGAAAAACUAUGUACAGGUCGUGACUGGAGGGGAUUCGCAGAGGUCCUGCGUGCUGUGAACCUGGGGGUCCCAACACCCUGAAGUAGCCUUUGAGGGACAGCUGUUUGAGGAAGCAGAUGAGGCACCCAAGAACCCUAACCCGAAUGGCCAAGCAACCAGAGAUUCUGACUGCGACCCCCUCAGAUGAAGAGGUCACCCUAGGGAACCCGUUUGGGAAGAGGCCGAGUUUGGGGGCAUACUUCAGCCUGGACCAAAGGGAGGAUCCCAUGCUCAGUUGGGCCUCUGAAUAGCUGACUUGCAUCAAGUGGACCAUGACUGAGCCCCAUCGGACAACAAUAUAUGCCCACUUCGAAUUGACCGGUGACCACCUUUACUGGAUCGACCGUGAUCCUUGGACAUAUGACACUUGAGCGCAGCUCGUGGUACCCUGAUGUCACUGAUGUGUGGUCUUGCAACUCACCCAUGACAUUUCAGCGUCCGGCCACCUGUGUCAUGAGAAAACACUAGUGCGAGUUCUGGCCUGGUUCUUCUGGUUAAACAAUAAUAAUUUAUAGAGCAGUUCAUCUCCAAGUGUCCCAAAGGGCUUUACAGAAUAGUGCUUAAUUCUGCGCUCAAUGAAAGCAGCAUGAGCAGGAUCUUGCCUUACAAAUGUAAUGUACCACAGAAUGCAGCCACCUCUGUUGUGGAGGUCAGUGGACAAUGCCUAGCACAUUACUCCAAAGUGUGUGUGUGUGAAGUUUGAUCAAGUCACCAGAUCAAACUCUUACUCUUACACAAAGCACCAUAGAAUAUUCAAAGUUCAGGCAAAGCAGAUCGGACCUUCAUUUUGAAGAUCUUAUCCAAAAGACCUCUGAUUGCAAAUGUAAAUGUACAUUUAUUUGAAAAGGUACCAUCAAACAAUACCUCAUACUUAAAUGCACUUGCAAUCAAAGUGGUGUACAAGACCAUCCUAUUACUAAAUAACAGGAUUUUAGCCAUCCCAGUCUAUUCAGGGUUAGUGCUGUGCAUUGCCAUGCUAGAGAGCUGAGUUCAGUCUCUGGGCUGGCAGGGGAUGAGUGCAGUGUGGAAAUAGAAUGUUUAGCUUCUGAGAUCAGGAAAGAAGUGUCAUUCUUAAGAAUGGUGCUGAUGAGCUCCGAAGCCAGUCCCACAUUCCUUUCCUCAGCCACAAGGAAAAAAAGUUCAACUUGAGAUCUGAGAAAUGGUGGAAUGAAAACGGGGAUUUUCCAGGUUCCAAGAGAGCAGAAGAAAAGCCAUAUAGGUCUGUAUAACUCACUUGCUGCUCUCCAAAUGUCAGGUUUGCUUUCUUACAUUUUGGACAUUGCAACAACUUAAAAAAUCACAAAGAAUGGCAUUUUGAGAAGUCAUAUUACUACAGAUGGGUGGAAGUGUUGCAAGUGACUUCAGUAGGAGCAAGUCUGAGCCCAUAAUGGAACUGUCCGUUGCAAUGCUUGAUAGAGUACAGCACAGAAGUACUUCUUUAGACAGUUAUCCAUCUUUUAUUGUCAUGAUCUGCCAACAAAUAUCUGUCACCAUUUCCGUAUAUUAGUUUCUUCUCUGAGGUGGCCUCUAUGUUUUUCCACUUGUGGGAGUCUACUAAGCAGUACAAACCCUAGAAGAAUAGACUGAGGCACUUUAAUUAAACAACUACUGUAGAACUGUCUUCAUAAUCAUACAUCAGAUCUGGAUGCCAAAUCAAGAAAGUGGUGCUGAGUAAAGGUGCAAACAGAAUUCCAGGUACCAGCCCUGCAGAUUUCUAUGAUGGAAACAUUGUGGAGGCAAGCCAUCAAUACCACCUUAGCUGUGUCAGCUGCAUGAAGAACUCCUUUUGAGCUCCACUAAUCCUUAUGGAAAGUGGACCAGAGGUCUCCACAAUUGGAAUGCUCUGCCCAAGUAUGACCUUGAAACUGAGAAGAGCUUGACACCAACAGGGUGAGGUUUAGACAGAGGUCUUCCUGGUGCUGACAUAAUUGCUAGUACUGAGAGAGAUGCACUGGUAGCAUCAGUAGGUCCCUGCUAAGAAACUGCUUGACAUUGAGUGUACCUUCGCACCAACAGACCCAGACAACAAAGUUAGUUUUUCUCACACCAGAGCAGCCAUGGGACCAGAAACAGAGUGUUCCAUUGAUUUGGUUCUGGAUGAUGGUACCAGACCUGAAAAUGAAGGCUUCUUCUUUCCAGUUGGAGGGGGCUUAAAGGCUGAAUUUGGCAAGGGAACUGUGCCCUGACCUGAAUUGGACCAGUGAUCUAGCUCAUAAUGUCUCUAACAUCAGGAAAGCCUGGAUCCAGGCCUGCCUGUCCUUUCAGGCCUGAUAUGUAAAAGCACAGCAAGCCAAACAACAGUUGAGGGGAAGGACUUUUCCAAGGCACAUUAGACAACAGGUAUGUGCACACAAGUCUGGGAAGAUGGAGAGUAUGAGAUACACCAUUUACACCAGACAUUUUUUCAAACCUUUGGGGUCCAGAUCGGACAUGAUGUCCUGGAAUUGAGCUGGAGUUGGUCUGGGAAUCUAAAACUAAAUAAUAGCUUUAAAAACUAGUAUUAAUGAAUUAGGAAAGUCUUGUAAAUUCACCCUCUCCCAAAUUUCUUGGCUUGAAGGGAAGGUCUCUCCACCUGCAUCUUGCUGCAGAAUGGAAGGAACAUAGGCAGUUGGAGUUCACACAGCUUCUUAUAACCUUGGUUCUAAAAGUUUCAUGCCAUGAGGAGGGCACUCAUGUUUUCCCAACAGGCACUGCUUUCUAGUAGGUUCCAAAGCUCAGGGGCACAAGACGGCCUCAUUCUACAAGUGGGAAUAUGCUGAGGCCACCUCAAAGAAGAAAUUAAAUAUAUAUUUCAAAGUAGUUUUGGUUAUUGCAAACAGGGCUGUUGAAACAAUGACAAAAAAUUGAAUUCAUUCAGUAUAAAUAGCUGCAAAAUGUACAAAGAACGUAACUGUUGUCUCAACAAUAUUAUGCUGCUGCAGUUUCUGUCACAGUGAUUUUUCCCCCCCAGUCUAUUUUGUAAAGGUCAAAGUGUAAAACCAUGUUUUUAAGUGUACUUCUGACAUGUUUCUGCAGAAAAGUAAUUAAAGAAGAUGAAAGUGACCUUUACUCACAUGGCGCAAGACAAAUGAAACUGUUGUAUUCUUUCUCCUUCAGCAAUUUUCUUUGAUGCUUAUGUCUCAUAGACUUUAUAGGUGAUAAAAAAGCAACACAUAAGAUUAGUGCACAUAAAAUUUGUAUGCAAUUUUGCACCCACAUUUGCAUGUGCAAUUGCUAUGACUGCAUGUGCAAAUUCAGAGAUUACACAUGCAAAUGACUAAUUAAUCGCCCCAUUUGUAAGUACAGUGGCAGUUGCAGCAAUACUGUAGACAUGCAGUAAAAUACAUGUUUUUAGCAUAUUCAGGUGGUCACCUAUUUUUUAAAAAUGUGGCUGUAUAAAUGGGUAUUUUACCUGUCACAGAAAUAGAUUUAAACAAAUCCUAUAAAGCAGUGUAGUCUUGAGGAAUGAGCACAACACUGGGAAUCAGGAAUGCUAAUCCUGGUUCUGCCACAGACUUGUAACCUUUCAGUUUCAACAUCUGUAAAAUGGGAAUAAUAGUAUUUACUCACCAAUUUCCAGGGGUGUUGUGAAGACUGAUUAAUUAGUUAAUGUUGGUUCAGUGCUUUGAACAUAUAAAACAAAUAUAAAAUGCUAAUUAUUAUUUACCCAUCUUUAUAAAGGACUUUGAGAUCCUUAGAUGAAAAACUCUGCUAUAUCAGUGAAAAAUAUUAUUGUUAUUCUUAUUAUGAAGUAGUUGGAGCAAUCAGAAAUUAUUGUGGUCUCCAAUAUUGUUAGUUAUCAUGAGAUGUUUUUAUAAAGGAAACAUAUCAAAUUAGAAAGCAGAAGCAAAACUUUAUUUGUACACUGCUAAGUUUUAUUUAUUAAAUCCUCUUAUAUAUAGCCGGGUCACAUGCUAACUCAUGUUAGUGCUUCAGUUUUGUUUUUCUAAAACAUUUUACAUCAAUGAGUGGUUUAUUCUGAAAUCUUUUUUAAAAAAUAUAUAAAUAGUGACAAAGCAAGUAGUUUGAUACAUUUUAUGGAUCCAACUUAGAGGUCUUCAUACACACACUUCUGUGUGGUAAGGAGGCUUGCAUAUUUUUGAACUCUAAGUUGGUCUAAUAAAAGAUAUCAGACUACAGUACUUGCUUUGUCUGCUCUGUUUUGCUGGUCCAGAAUGACUACAAGGUUCACUUUCAAUUUUUAUCAUAAAAACCGGGAAAGAGUUGAUUUUGUGUUAAUAGCCUUGAAAGAGGCUUGUACAACAGUACAGAAUGUUGCCAGUUUGAAAUAGAUACUCAUUACAAAAUAUGAAGAUGUGAAGUUAUACCAUCUUGGAAAUUUUGUUUUUAUAAGUAAGACUGGUUUUAAAAUAAAACCUUUAAGUAAUCAUACCAUACGUUUGAUGGUGGAAAUUAGUAUGAAUGUUUCUGGCAAGUGAAUGAUGUGAUGUGGUUAUAUGUUUCUGCUUUCAUUGCUUGCUCAAUAUUGGCCUUUAAUAUACACAGAUUACCAUGUAGAUGGAAGGAAUUUACAGUCUUGGCCUCCUUGUUUCACUCUGUGUUGCAACACCUUUUUCACACUUUAUGUUAAACAUCCUGUUGACUGCAUUUAUCCCUAUAGAAAGGAAAUAUCUGUGGAUUGAGACAGUUCUGUUGACGUACAUUGGGAACCUGUGUCAGCUUUCACUAUUUAAUGAGAUGAAAUGAGUAUUAUUUAGCACCUACCAUGAUAUUCACAUGGGUGAAAUCCUGGCCUGAUGGAAUCCAAUGGCAAAAUUCCCGUUGACUACAGUGGGGUUAAGAUUUCACCCAUGGUUCCUAACCAUCUGGUAAUGGAGCAGAUUGGCAGCUCAGGAGAACACCAUAAUAAUAUCAGUAAAGAAAAUGCAUUCAAAUAAAAGAAAAAGAGUCAGUACUAUAAACUGUCAAAGGAAUAGGUUUUCAACACAAAUAAAAUCCAAGUUGUAUAAAA